GACGUAGGGGGCAAGCGUUGUCCGGAAUCAUUGGGCGUAAAGCGCUCGUAGGUGGAUCGGUAAGUCUGCAAAGAAAGACCCGGGCUCAACUCGGGGAACGGUGUGGAUACUACCGAUCUUGAGGCAAUCAGAGGAUGAUGGAAUUCCCGGUGUAGCGGUGAAAUGCGCAGAUAUCAGGAGGAACACCGGUGGCGAAGGCGGGUCUCUGGGCAGUAACUGACGCUGAGGAGCGAAAGCAUGGGGAGCAAACAGG
Molecule: ribosomal RNA, 253 nt
Filed under: uncultured bacterium
Lineage: Bacteria
Description: partial 16S ribosomal RNA
Rfam family: Bacterial small subunit ribosomal RNA
Source: RNAcentral